UCAUAUUUUUCGAUAUUUUUUAUAUUCGUGUGAUCGUUCUAUUCACCAUGAAACGGAUUUUAGUUUGAUUUUUGGACAGUUGGCACUGCGUGCGUACGAUCGCUCGAUGACUCUUAAUGUUUUGUCCAUUUCUUCUAUCGCGUGUUUCCUCUGAUUGAUGGGACAUUCGACGCCGACUCGCUUUCAAUCUUACCCUCCACCUGAUUGAUUCCUUUUGCAACUUUUUUUAGCUCGCGUUGCACGUGUGAAAAGGAUUUUUAAUAUUUCUCAGACAUUUUUGAGGUGUUCGAGCAGUGAACGAUUAUUUGUAAAUACAUUUGUUUCAUCCAAACUUCAAAAUUCGAAAAAUUGUACGAAAAUCGCGUUAUCUUAUUCUCGAAAAAAAUUAGACGAAUUUAUGGUUUCAUAAAAUUGGAUUGAAUUCAUAACUUCAAUUAAUGUCAAUCGAGUAAUAGAUUGAAAUUCAAUGCGAUGCGUCCACGUCGCUUUUGAACGAGGAUUUCAGUAGUCACAGCUCAACUCUGGUCAGACACGCUGAUUACACUUUAACUUUUUUGAAUUCUCAUCACUUUCGACUCUUUGGCUAAUGUCUUACUACUAAUUUAUCUAUUUUUUAUUAUUAUUGUUUUUUUAAUCGUUAAAAAUUAUUAUUUUUGGUAAAAAUAUUGAAAUAGAAUAAUUUCAAUUAUAAACGUUUGAAAUUUUCACUUUUCGCAACGGCCUUCCGACACUUUGUCUUAAAACUAAUUUUUCUAUUUUCUAUUAUUUUUUUUUAAUCAUUGAAAAUUAUUAUUUUUGGUAAAAAUAUUAAAAUUCGAUGAAUUUCAAUUAUAAACGUUUAAAAUUUUCAGUUUUCGCAGCGGUCUUGUAAGCAUGGCAACGAUACAUUGACUGAAAUAUUUCUUGUGUUAUAAGUGCGAAGACGUGACUCACAAAUUAACUCGAAUCACGUAAAUCACACGCACCCGACAAAUGAAACUAAUUUAUUAUAAAAUCAUAUUUUCUCAAUUGCAAAAAGUUGUGUUUAAUUCCACAUAUCAAUGAUCACCACGAUAAAUCAGACGUUUUGUUCCGUUUAACAAGCAAUAAUCUAAUUGAAAAUUCCAUUCGAUCACAAUAAUUGACAUCAUUCAGUUAGCUGUUGAAAAAUGACAUGAAAUUCCCAAACUGGCUGUGUGAAAACAAAGCAAAUUACACUCGUACAUCAAAAUUAAAACCAUGAAUAUAAAUUUCAGUCACUCAUGUGGAAUUUAAUAUACACGACAUUGGAUAUUAAAAUAAAUUUCAAGAAUUUCGUCGACAUGCAUUGAAGUAAACCGUACGUUUGGUUGACAACCAAUAAAUAUGAAUUCGGAUUCAUCAAUCGCGAACAGUGGACAAAUGAAUACGAUUUGAGUUUAAAUAUCCUGUGCAGUUAAUUAAAAAAUUCGUUUCCCAUGAAUCUCGGACACAAGAUUUUUUAACUUGAUGUGUUCUGUCAAAAAUACGAAGCAAAAGUUUGAGUACGAAUUCAUACGAGCUUGCAUUCUUGAAAAAAAUUCUUUUGUAAAAUUCUAUUUGUCAAUAUAUUUGUAUGUUUGUUUCAAAAUAUGUUUUUUUUUUUCAUAUCGAAGGUGUUCAAAAAUUUCGGUAGAACAACUGUUUUGAAUGGAUACAACCAUUCGAAAAAUGAUUAAUUUGUUAACGUGUGUUGUCAGGAAAUACUAAUGCAAUUAUUCUUUUUUCUCCUGUGUCAAAUAACGGGGGCAGAGAGCACUUUUAUCAAGGGGGAAUAUCAAUGUGGAAAAAAAGAGUUUCGGCGAAAAAGAGCUUCUGUAUGGUCCAGGGGCAGCCGACUAAUCGAUGCUUGCUGUGGCACUUGUGCUGUCAACCGUCGGAUUUGGAUUUGUUUGGGGAGUCUUUUUUUGAGACGCCAUUUCGAGACCGUUCCUCUGCUUAAUAAAAUGUUCUAAAAAUAAAAAAUUUUCUUGUAUGCUUCAUUACUUCAAUAAUUAAUAUACAAAAUUUCAAAUAA
Molecule: long non-coding RNA, 2014 nt
Organism: Venturia canescens
Lineage: Eukaryota; Metazoa; Arthropoda; Insecta; Hymenoptera; Ichneumonidae
Exons: 2
Source: RefSeq, a predicted model, not a curated record